Molecule: ribosomal RNA, 447 nt
Filed under: uncultured bacterium
Lineage: Bacteria
Description: bacterial SSU rRNA
Rfam family: Bacterial small subunit ribosomal RNA
Source: RNAcentral
GCCAGACUCCUACGGGAGGCAGCAGUGGGGAAUAUUGCACAAUGGGGGAAACCCUGAUGCAGCAACGCCGCGUGAGUGAAGAAGUAUUUCGGUAUGUAAAGCUCUAUCAGCAGGGAAGAAGAUGACGGUACCUGAUUAAGAAGCCCCGGCUAACUACGUGCCAGCAGCCGCGGUAAUACGUAGGGGGCGAGCGUUAUCCGGAUUUACUGGGUGUAAAGGGAGCGUAGACGGUUCUGCAAGUCUGAAGUGAAAGCCCGUGGCUUAACCGCGGAACGGCUUUGGAAACUGUGGAACUGGAGUGCUGGAGAGGCAAGCGGAAUUCCUAGUGUAGCGGUGAAAUGCGUAGAUAUCAGGAGGAACACCGGCGGCGAGGGCGGCCUGCUGGACCGUAACUGACGUUGAGGCUCGAAAGCGUGGGGAGCAAACAGGAUUAGAUACCCUUGUAAC